This 378-nucleotide ribosomal RNA is filed under the name Bufo sp. Yok Don. RNAcentral's name for it is "partial 12S ribosomal RNA". It matches the Rfam family "Bacterial small subunit ribosomal RNA", at positions 794 to 1384 of the family's 1533-position model. Lineage: Eukaryota; Metazoa; Chordata; Amphibia; Anura; Bufonidae. The record is from RNAcentral.
GCCUAGCCGUAAACUCUUACUUACACCUAAAUCGCCAGGGAACUACGAGCUAAGCUUAAAACCCAAAGGACUUGACGGUACCCCAUAUCCCCCUAGAGGAGCCUGUCCUAUAAUCGAUAAUCCACGUUUAACCUCACCAUUUCUAGUUAAUCAGCCUGUAUACCUCCGUCGUCAGCUUACCACGUGAGCGCUUCCCAGUGAGCUUAAUGUUUUUCACCAAUACGUCAGGUCAAGGUGCAGCAAAUGUUAUGGAAAGAGAUGGGCUACACUUUCUAUGUUAGAAAAAACGAAAGACUACCUAUGAAAUUCUAGUCGGAAGGCGGAUUUAGCAGUAAAAAGGAAUCAGAAUGUCCAUUUUAACUCGGCACUGGGGUGUGU